RNAcentral lists this ribosomal RNA (857 nucleotides) under Tricladium obesum. RNAcentral describes it as "eukaryotic LSU rRNA". It matches the Rfam family "Eukaryotic large subunit ribosomal RNA", at positions 71 to 946 of the family's 3401-position model. The record is from RNAcentral. Lineage: Eukaryota; Fungi; Ascomycota; Leotiomycetes; Helotiales; Tricladiaceae.
GGGAUUACCUCAGUAACGGCGAGUGAAGCGGUAACAGCUCAAAUUUGAAAUCUGGCUCUUUCAGGGUCCGAGUUGUAAUUUGUAGACGAUGCUUUGGGUGUGGUGCCGGUCUAAGUUCCUUGGAACAGGACGUCAUAGAGGGUGAGAAUCCCGUAUGUGAUCGGUCGCCUUCGCCCGUGUAAAGCUCGUUCGACGAGUCGAGUUGUUUGGGAAUGCAGCUCAAAAUGGGUGGUAAAUUUCAUCUAAAGCUAAAUAUUGGCCAGAGACCGAUAGCGCACAAGUAGAGUGAUCGAAAGAUGAAAAGCACUUUGGAAAGAGAGUUAAACAGUACGUGAAAUUGUUGAAAGGGAAGCGCUUGCAACCAGACUUGGGCUGUCGCAAUCAUCCGGGGCUCGCCCCGGUGCACUUGUGGCGGCACAGGCCAGCAUCAGUUUCGGUGGUGGGAUAAAGGCCUUGGGAAUGUAGCUUCUUUCGGGGAGUGUUAUAGCCCUCGGUGCAAUGCCGCCUACCGGGACUGAGGACCGCGCUUCGGCUAGGAUGCUGGCGUAAUGGUUGUAAGCGACCCGUCUUGAAACACGGACCAAGGAGUCUAACAUCUAUGCGAGUGUUUGGGUGUCAAACCCAUACGCGUAAUGAAAGUGAACGGAGGUGAGAACCCGUUAGGGUGCAUCAUCGACCGAUCCUGAUGUCUUCGGAUGGAUUUGAGUAAGAGCAUAGCUGUUGGGACCCGAAAGAUGGUGAACUAUGCCUAAAUAGGGUGAAGCCAGAGGAAACUCUGGUGGAGGCUCGCAGCGGUUCUGACGUGCAAAUCGAUCGUCAAAUUUGGGUAUAGGGGCGAAAGACUAUCGAACCAUCUA